CCUACGGGAGGCAGCAGUGGGGAAUUUUGGACAAUGGGGGCAACCCUGAUCCAGCCAUGCCGCGUGAGUGAAGAAGGCCUUCGGGUUGUAAAGCUCUUUCGGCCGGAACGAAAUCGCGCACGUGAAUAACGUGCGUGGAUGACGGUACCGGAGUAAGAAGCACCGGCUAACUACGUGCCAGCAGCCGCGGUAAUACGUAGGGUGCGAGCGUUAAUCGGAAUUACUGGGCGUAAAGCGUGCGCAGGCGGUUCGCUAAGUCAGACGUGAAAGCCCCGGGCUUAACCUGGGAACGGCGUUUGAAACUGGCGGGCUCGAGUACGGCAGAGGGGGGUGGAAUUCCACGUGUAGCAGUGAAAUGCGUAGAUAUGUGGAGGAACACCGAUGGCGAAGGCAGCCCCCUGGGCCGAUACUGACGCUCAUGCACGAAAGCGUGGGGAGCAAACAGGAUUAGAUACCCUGGUAGUCCACGCCCUAAACUAUGUCAACUAGUUGUCGGGGAAGCAAUUCCUUGGUAACGCAGCUAACGCGUGAAGUUGACCGCCUGGGGAGUCGGUCGCAAGAUUAAAACUCAAAGGAAUUGACGG
RNAcentral lists this ribosomal RNA (584 nucleotides) under uncultured bacterium. RNAcentral describes it as "bacterial SSU rRNA". It matches the Rfam family "Bacterial small subunit ribosomal RNA", at positions 338 to 916 of the family's 1533-position model. The record is from RNAcentral.